ACGAACGCUGGCGGCGUGCUUAACACAUGCAAGUCGAACGGUGAAGCGCCUUCCUUUUUGGUGGGUGUGGAUGAGUGGCGAACGGGUGAGUAACACGUGAGUAACCUGCCCCCUUCUUCUGGAUAACCACAUGAAAGUGUGGCUAAUACGGGAUAUUCUGGGUCUGUCGCAUGAUGGGUCUGGGAAAGAUAUUGUUUCGGUGGGGGAUGGGCUCGCGGCCUAUCAGCUUGUUGGUGGGGUGAUGGCCUACCAAGGCGGUGACGGGUAGCCGGCCUGAGAGGGUGGACGGUCACACUGGGACUGAGACACGGCCCAGACUCCUACGGGAGGCAGCAGUGGGGAAUAUUGCACAAUGGGCGCAAGCCUGAUGCAGCGACGCCGCGUGAGGGAUGGAGGCCUUCGGGUUGUGAACCUCUUUCGCCAGUGAAGCAGGCCUGCCUCGUUUGUGGGUGGGUUGACGGUAGCUGGAUAAGAAGCGCCGGCUAACUACGUG
RNAcentral lists this ribosomal RNA (493 nucleotides) under uncultured bacterium. Its description in RNAcentral is "partial 16S ribosomal RNA". It matches the Rfam family "Bacterial small subunit ribosomal RNA", at positions 29 to 507 of the family's 1533-position model. The record is from RNAcentral.